RNAcentral lists this ribosomal RNA (433 nucleotides) under uncultured bacterium. Its description in RNAcentral is "partial 16S ribosomal RNA". It matches the Rfam family "Bacterial small subunit ribosomal RNA", at positions 29 to 507 of the family's 1533-position model. The record is from RNAcentral.
AACGAACGCUGGCGGCAUGCCUAACACAUGCAAGUCGAACGAGACCUUCGGGUCUAGUGGCGCACGGGUGCGUAACGCGUGGGAACCUGCCCUUAGGUUCGGAAUAACUCCCCGAAAGGGGUGCUAAUACCGGAUAAUGUCUUCGGACCAAAGAUUUAUCGCCUUUGGAUGGGCCCGCGUUGGAUUAGCUAGUUGGUAGGGUAAAAGCCUACCAAGGCGACGAUCCAUAGCUGGUCUGAGAGGAUGAUCAGCCACACUGGGACUGAGACACGGCCCAGACUCCUACGGGAGGCAGCAGUGGGGAAUAUUGGACAAUGGGCGAAAGCCUGAUCCAGCAAUGCCGCGUGAGUGAUGAAGGACUUAGGGUUGUAAAGAUCUUUUACCCGGGAUGAUAAUGACAGUACCGGGAGAAUAAGCUCCGGCUAACUCCGUG